RNAcentral lists this ribosomal RNA (253 nucleotides) under uncultured bacterium. RNAcentral describes it as "partial 16S ribosomal RNA". It matches the Rfam family "Bacterial small subunit ribosomal RNA", at positions 524 to 776 of the family's 1533-position model. The record is from RNAcentral.
UACGGAGGGAGCAAGCGUUACUCGGAAUUAUUGGGCGUAAAGGGCGCGUAGGCGAUUUGACAAGUCUUGUGUGAAAGCCCCGAGCUUAACUCGGGAAGUGCACAAGAAACUGUUGAAUUUGAGUUCCGGAGAGGAAGGCAGAAUUCCCGGUGUAGCGGUGAAAUGCGCAGAUAUCGGGAGGAACACCGGUGGCGAAGGCGGUUCUCUGGGCCUGACCUGACGCUGAGGAGCGAAAGCGUGGGGAGCGAACAGG